AUGGCCCGCAUUGCGGCGUUCUUGCUGGUGGCGCUGCUCUCCUUAGACGUGCAUCUCGCGCAGUCCGCGUCGUGCCGAUCAUGCCCGCCGACAAAGCCUUCCCAGCCUCCACCGUGUAAGCACAAGUCUUCACCAUCGUCCAUACCCUGCCCUCCACCUUCA
Molecule: ribosomal RNA, 162 nt
Filed under: Triticum aestivum (bread wheat)
Lineage: Eukaryota; Viridiplantae; Streptophyta; Magnoliopsida; Poales; Poaceae
Description: partial small subunit ribosomal RNA
Source: RNAcentral